This 463-nucleotide ribosomal RNA is filed under the name uncultured bacterium. RNAcentral describes it as "bacterial SSU rRNA". It matches the Rfam family "Bacterial small subunit ribosomal RNA", at positions 61 to 524 of the family's 1533-position model. The record is from RNAcentral.
GCCGAGCGGUAGAGAUUCUUCGGAAUCUUGAGAGCGGCGCACGGGUGCGGAACACGUGUGCAACCUGCCUUUAUCUGGGGGAUAGCCUUUCGAAAGGAAGAUUAAUACCCCAUAAUAUAUUGACUGGCAUCAGUUGAUAUUGAAAACUCCGGUGGAUAGAGAUGGGCACGCGCAGGAUUAGAUAGUUGGUGAGGUAACGGCUCACCAAGUCAACGAUCCUUAGGGGGCCUGAGAGGGUGAUCCCCCACACUGGUACUGAGACACGGACCAGACUCCUACGGGAGGCAGCAGUGAGGAAUAUUGGACAAUGGGUGAGAGCCUGAUCCAGCCAUCCCGCGUGAAGGACGACGGCCCUAUGGGUUGUAAACUUCUUUUGUAUAGGGAUAAACCUACCCUCGUGAGGGUAGCUGAAGGUACUAUACGAAUAAGCACCGGCUAACUCCGUGCCAGCAGCCGCGGUAAU